AACGAACGCUGGCGGCAUGCCUAACACAUGCAAGUCGAACGAGACCUUCGGGUCUAGUGGCGCACGGGUGCGUAACGCGUGGGAACCUGCCUUUAGGUUCGGAAUAACUCAGAGAAAUUUGAGCUAAUACCGGAUAAUGUCUUCGGACCAAAGAUUUAUCGCCUUUAGAUGGGCCCGCGUUGGAUUAGCUAGUUGGUGGGGUAAAGGCCUACCAAGGCGACGAUCCAUAGCUGGUCUGAGAGGAUGAUCAGCCACACUGGGACUGAGACACGGCCCAGACUCCUACGGGAGGCAGCAGUGGGGAAUAUUGGACAAUGGGCGAAAGCCUGAUCCAGCAAUGCCGCGUGAGUGAUGAAGGCCUUAGGUGUAAAGCUCUUUACCCGAGAUGAUAAUGACAGUAUCGGGAGAAUAAGCUCCGGCUAACUCCGUGCCAGCAGCCGCGGUAAUGUGACUACUG
This 457-nucleotide ribosomal RNA is filed under the name uncultured bacterium. Its description in RNAcentral is "bacterial SSU rRNA". It matches the Rfam family "Bacterial small subunit ribosomal RNA", at positions 29 to 534 of the family's 1533-position model. The record is from RNAcentral.